GAUGAACGCUGGCAGCGUGCUUAACACAUGCAAGUCGAACGAAGCACUUUAUUUGAUUUCCUUCGGGACUGAUUAUUUUGUGACUGAGUGGCGGACGGGUGAGUAACGCGUGGGUAACCUGCCUUGUACAGGGGGAUAACAGUUGGAAACGGCUGCUAAUACCGCAUAAGCGCACAGCAUCGCAUGAUGCAGUGUGAAAAACUCCGGUGGUAUAAGAUGGACCCGCGUUGGAUUAGCUAGUUGGUGAGGUAACGGCCCACCAAGGCGACGAUCCAUAGCCGACCUGAGAGGGUGACCGGCCACAUUGGGACUGAGACACGGCCCAAACUCCUACGGGAGGCAGCAGUGGGGAAUAUUGCACAAUGGGCGAAAGCCUGAUGCAGCGACGCCGCGUGAGCGAAGAAGUAUUUCGGUAUGUAAAGCUCUAUCAGCAGGGAAGAUAAUGACGGUACCUGACUAAGAAGCACCGGCUAAAUACGUG
RNAcentral lists this ribosomal RNA (481 nucleotides) under uncultured bacterium. Its description in RNAcentral is "partial 16S ribosomal RNA". It matches the Rfam family "Bacterial small subunit ribosomal RNA", at positions 28 to 507 of the family's 1533-position model. The record is from RNAcentral.